RNAcentral lists this long non-coding RNA (987 nucleotides) under Homo sapiens (human). RNAcentral describes it as "HSALNT0328684". Lineage: Eukaryota; Metazoa; Chordata; Mammalia; Primates; Hominidae. The record is from RNAcentral.
AUAAAAAUAAUGCAUUGUAUGCCGGAAGGGAUAAAUCUGGGGCUGAGUACAAGCAAAACAAGACCAAAGGAAGCUACCUGAGCAGGUAUUCCAGAUACUCAUGUCAUACACCAAGGUUGUACCAGUGCCCCUUUCUCUGUGACACAUCCAUCCACUGGAAACUUUCGUACAACUAGCUGAAAGAAGAGAAACAUCCUAUUUCAUGUCACUGGAGCCCUAAUGAUCGCAGCCAUUUCAGGAAAUGCCAUCAAUUACAGUGAGGAGCUCAUUCAGAAGUGAAAGAUGAGUUCCAUUCUCUGUUACUUAGAGGACAAUAGAUUAUAUUGGAUGUAGAUGAAGUUUGGGCAGAAUCAGGGAUCAAUGGCUCCAUCUAAAUUGUUGCACCAAAACACAGACAUACACCUGCUUUUAGAUUUGAAGAGUGAAUCCUCUCUGGAAAAUGUAGCAACUACUCAAAAAAGGUUGGAGGACCAACACUUCUAAGAAGCAGGAGGAACACAAUUAUUUCUGGAAAGAGUAUUACACUCAGUAUUCUGCAUUUCAUAUGGCAUUUCAAAGUCCUGAGAAUGACUCUCCGUAGUCUUCUAUGUACUAAUUAAACAUGAACAUGUGGUAAACAACAUGGACUAUUCCAGUGGACAGAAAGCGUCAAGUUAAAAUGUUUAAGUGCCCCAUAUUUUUCUAAGUAUUCUUAUCCAGUUGGUCUGACUGGUCAUUAUCUGUUUUGUAAAACUUCCCAAACAACUCAUCAAUAUUUAAAUAGCUAUCCAAAUUAUAAACUUCAAAUAGCAGAAUCCAAAUGUCAUUUAUGCAUAAUUCAAAAGAACUUUGCUGAAAACAAUCUUUGGAUUACAAUUGCUCUCUAAUCCACCUCUUGAAUUUCUACAUAAGAAUUCAAUGCCAAUGCAAUUCAAAUCAAUUCAUUCAUGGUUGAUGUUAAAACUUCCUUUAAGAGGAUAGUAUGGCAGAAACAAAACUGAAUUUGAA